AAUUAUAAAAUUAAACAAAUGAAAGAAGGAAAAAUGCAUAAAAAGUAUAGCACAAACUUGAAGCUAAUUUAAAUGAAGGAAAACUAUAUAAAAAGUAUUCUUCUAAUGAUAGUGGUGAAUAUUAUGUUAAAGAUGGUAGCAAAUGAUGGAUCAAAUUUAAGUAUUCUUGUUGCCUAUCGAUUCAUCUUUUCUACUGCCUUCAUUGUUCCAUUUGAUGUCCUCUUUGAAAGGUGUACUGUACUUUAUUUCUAUACAUUUUAGUCACGAAAAAUAAUUUUUAUAGUAAAAACUAAUUAUGUAUACAAUUUUUUAUUGCCAUGUUUCACCAGGAAAAGCGAUAAUAGCAUUACUAGCAAGCUUUUCUUUGCGGGUUAUUUGGGGGAUCCUUAUAACAAAACCUAUGCAUUAAUUCUUUGACAUUUGGUAUCAGCAACAUAUAUUUCAGAUGUGUUAAACUUCAUCCCCGCCAUUACCUACAUCAUGGUUGUGUCUCUAAGCCUCUAAGAAUGGAGAAACCAAAUCUUGGAAGAUUGGCUGGAAAGGACAAGCUGCUAGGAACUUUAACUGGAAUUAGUGGUGCCAUGAUCCUCCCUCUAUAUGAUGGCAAGAAGUUAUUUAACUGCUCAAUGCACAUUGACUUAUUGCAACAAUAUAAGACAUUCCCGCUACAUGAUUCCCAUGCUGGAUCUCGCGCGUGGGGCCUCACUCUAGCUUUGGCCACUUCAUUAAAUUUCUCAUUGUCGUAUAUAAUUCAGUUUAAUAGGAGGUGUGUUGAUUGUGUGCGGAUUAUACAUGUUAUUAUGGGGGGAAAGCAAAGAAGCAAAGAAAGUGGAGAGUGAGAAUGAGUCUGCAAAAGACCCUCUCAAAUGUGAUUCAAUACAUAUUUCCAACUCAUCUUUGUGUAGCAGUGAAAAUCACAACGAGAAGAAGGCUGCAAAUGUUGCUCCUGAUACAUCGUCAAUUCUUCACAAUACUUUAGGCUAAGUUUAACAAUUGAAUAUUUGAGGAUAACUAUUUAUUUCAUUAGUUUAUAUUAAGUUAAUCAACUUAUACAAGUAUAACUAAUUACAUAGUUUUAAUUUACUUUCAAAAAA
This is a non-coding RNA of Cicer arietinum (chickpea), 1094 nucleotides long. Lineage: Eukaryota; Viridiplantae; Streptophyta; Magnoliopsida; Fabales; Fabaceae. The record is from RefSeq and is a predicted model, not a curated record.